CUGCCAGUAGUCAUAUGCUUGUCUCAAAGAUUAAGCCAUGCAUGUCUAAGUCCAAGCUGUGUUCACACGGCGAGACCGCGGACGGCUCAUUAAAUCAGUCGUGGUCCAAAUGGGCCAGUGCAAAUCCUACUUGGAUAACUGUGGUAAUUCCAGAGCUAAUACAUGCAACUGAUAUCCCGAAGGCGGUGUUUGGGCUUGCUUGCCUUGCGCUGCGCUGCUCUGACGGAUGCUUUUAUUAGACCAAGCCGCUGAGGACUUGAGGGUUCGCGCUCUCUUGUCUGACUCGUGUGAUGGUGACUCUGGAUAACCAAAUUCUGACAAGCGCACGUACUUCUCUUCUGAGCGAGACGGCGCUGCCACUUUCGAGUGUCUGCCUUAUCAGCUAUCAACCGUUCGUUAUGCGCGACCGAUGGCUUUGACGGGUAACGGGGAAUCAGGGUUCGAUUCCGGAGAGGCAGCCUGAGAGACGGCUACCACGUCCAAGGACGGCAGCAGGCACGCAAAUUACCCAAUCCCAGCAAAUGGGGGAGGUAGUGACGAAAUCUAACGAUGCGGGCGCCCUUUCUGGGGCCCCGCAAUCGGAAUGGGCACUUUCUAAACAACCUGUUGAGAACCUACUGAAGGG
Molecule: ribosomal RNA, 625 nt
Filed under: Eulimnogammarus verrucosus
Lineage: Eukaryota; Metazoa; Arthropoda; Malacostraca; Amphipoda; Eulimnogammaridae
Description: SSU rRNA
Rfam family: Eukaryotic small subunit ribosomal RNA
Source: RNAcentral